CGUCUCCUGCAGACCCUU
RNAcentral lists this unclassified non-coding RNA (18 nucleotides) under Mus musculus (house mouse). RNAcentral describes it as "oocyte_clustered_small_RNA13594". The record is from RNAcentral. Lineage: Eukaryota; Metazoa; Chordata; Mammalia; Rodentia; Muridae.